CGACGAGGCUCAAGCGACUGUUUUAUCAAAAAACACAGGUCUCUGCUAAACCGUAAGGUGAUGUAUAGGGGCUGACUCCUGCCCAGUGCCGGAAGGUUAAGUGGAUCGGUUAGCGCAAGCGAAGCUGAAAACAAGCCCCGGUGAACGGCGGCCGUAACUAUAACGGUCCUAAGGUAGCGAAAUUCCUUGUCGGGUAAGUUCCGACCCGCACGAAUGGAGUAACGAUUUGAGCGCUGUCUCGGAGAGAGACUCGGCGAAAUAGGAUUGUCUGUGAAGAUACGGACUAGGCGUGCCAGGACAGAAAGACCCUAUUGAGCUUUACUGUAGGCUGAAAUUGUCUGCGGGCUAUAUCUGCGCAGGAUAGGUGGGAGACUUUGAAGUCAGAAUUUUGGUUCUGAUGGAGUCAACGUUGAGAUACCACUCUGAUGUAGCUAGCAUACUAACCUGAUUCCGUUAUCCGGGUCGGGG
Molecule: ribosomal RNA, 468 nt
Filed under: uncultured bacterium
Lineage: Bacteria
Description: bacterial LSU rRNA
Rfam family: Bacterial large subunit ribosomal RNA
Source: RNAcentral